UACCAAGGCGCUUGAGAGAACUCGGGUGAAGGAACUAGGCAAAAUGGUGCCGUAACUUCGGGAGAAGGCACGCUGAUAUGUAGGUGAAGUCCCUCGCGGAUGGAGCUGAAAUCAGUCGAAGAUACCAGCUGGCUGCAACUGUUUAUUAAAAACACAGCACUGUGCAAACACGAAAGUGGACGUAUACGGUGUGACGCCUGCCCGGUGCCGGAAGGUUAAUUGAUGGGGUCAGCGCAAGCGAAGCUCUUGAUCGAAGCCCCGGUAAACGGCGGCCGUAACUAUAACGGUCCUAAGGUAGCGAAAUUCCUUGUCGGGUAAGUUCCGACCUGCACGAAUGGCGUAAUGAUGGCCAGGCUGUCUCCACCCGAGACUCAGUGAAAUUGAACUCGCUGUGAAGAUGCAGUGUACCCGCGGCAAGACGGAAAGACCCCGUGAACCUUUACUAUAGCUUGACACUGAACAUUGAGCCUUGAUGUGUAGGAUAGGUGGGAGGCUUUGAAGUGUGGACGCCAGUCUGCAUGGAGCCGACCUUGAAAUACCACCCUUUAAUGUUUGAUGUUCUAACGUGGACCCGUGAUCCGGGUUGCGGACAGUGUCUGGUGGGUAGUUUGACUGGGGCGGUCUCCUCCUAAAGAGUAACGGAGGAGCACGAAGGUUGGCUAAUCCUGGUCGGACAUCAGGAGGUUAGUGCAAUGGCAUAAGCCAGCUUGACUGCGAGCGUGACGGCGCGAGCAGGUGCGAAAGCAGGUCAUAGUGAUCCGGUGGUUCUGAAUGGAAGGGCCAUCGCUCAACGGAUAAAAGGUACUCCGGGGAUAACAGGCUGAUACCGCCCAAGAGUUCAUAUCGACGGCGGUGUUUGGCACCUCGAUGUCGGCUCAUCACAUCCUGGGGCUGAAGUAGGUCCCAAGGGUAUGGCUGUUCGCCAUUUAAAGUGGUACGCGAGCUGGGUUUAGAACGUCGUGAGACAGUUCGGUCCCUAUCUGCCGUGGGCGCUGGAGAACUGAGGGGGGCUGCUCCUAGUACGAGAGGACCGGAGUGGACGCAUCACUGGUGUUCGGGUUGUCAUGCCAAUGGCACUGCCCGGUAGCUAAAUGCGGAAGAGAUAAGUGCUGAAAGCAUCUAAGCACGAAACUUGCCCCGAGAUGAGUUCUCCCUGACCCUUUAAGGGUCCUGAAGGAACGUUGAAGACGACGACGUUGAUAGGCCGGGUGUGUAAGCGCAGCGAUGCGUUGAGCUAACCGGUACUAAUGAACCGUGAGGCUUAACCUU
RNAcentral lists this ribosomal RNA (1269 nucleotides) under Escherichia coli. RNAcentral describes it as "partial 23S ribosomal RNA". It matches the Rfam family "Bacterial large subunit ribosomal RNA", at positions 1679 to 2925 of the family's 2925-position model. Lineage: Bacteria; Pseudomonadati; Pseudomonadota; Gammaproteobacteria; Enterobacterales; Enterobacteriaceae. The record is from RNAcentral.